Phrynosoma platyrhinos (Desert horned lizard) is the source of this 72-nucleotide non-coding RNA. The record is from the annotation of a GenBank genome assembly. NCBI's taxonomy places the organism in Eukaryota, Metazoa, Chordata, Lepidosauria, Squamata, Phrynosomatidae.
GCCAGUGUGGUGCAGUGGUUUGGGUGAUGGAUUAGGACUCUAGAGGCCAGGGUUCAAUUUCCCGCUUGGCCA